Molecule: long non-coding RNA, 1107 nt
Organism: Labrus mixtus (cuckoo wrasse)
Lineage: Eukaryota; Metazoa; Chordata; Actinopteri; Labriformes; Labridae
Exons: 3
Source: RefSeq, a predicted model, not a curated record
AAAUUAAAUCUCCCCAACUCCCAUUGGAUCCCAGGCCUCAUCUCAACCAUCAGCAAGACACCAAGAUCAAACACACCACAGGCAUAGCCUCAAGAAUCGGAACCAAGCCUCUCCUCGCCACUCUCACUGUGCAGUAGCCUUCUACACAUCACUGCUUGCGAUGUCUUCCUCUUCCUCCACUAGAUCAAGUUCACAUUCACAAACUGAGCUCCACAUCAGGAACUGGACCGCUGCUCGCCUCUGACAAUCCCUGAAUCCCCCUUCAACUGCCACUAUGUCCAGAGGCAGCUACCCUUGUAGGGGACAGAGCUUAUCACCCCCUGUGCCUGCUCCUUCUGUAUCUGACAUCUCAUAUCUCUCUCAAGCUAUCACAGCUUUCUUUAUAUCCUGGAGUUUGCAUGCUUCACAAAAUUCCUGUGCACAUACAUCCUUCCAUCCCAUUAUAGUUUCCUCUACUCUUCCUUCAGUCUUUCAGACAAAACUUCAGCAGAGUUCAUUCUAGCUUUUUCAAUGUAGAUGCACUAUUUAUUCAGCCUUUCCUUUAAGAAUGUCUGAGCUGGAUGACUGUCUGUCCAUCAUAGUCGACAUAGUCUUACUUUUCUGAGGAACUGGUUUCUAUAGCUACCAUGUUUACUCUGCAGCAUACAGCAGUUGAAUCAAGGUACUGGGGAGGUCAUGACUCCAAACUGUAAUGUUGAAUCUUUGCAGCCCAAACCUCCCUCUCAUACCCCAGAAUGUCCUGUCAGCGCUCUUCUACAAAGCUCACGCUCAUCUUUCUCACACCCCAAUCUGAAACCAUCUAUCACACAGGUAUCAAAAUCAAGGCCCACAGGCCGAAUCCGGCCCGACAGCAGGUUUCAUCCGGCCUGCGAGACAUUUUGGGAAGAAGGGGGACAUCUUUGAAAAACAAAUUGCACUUACCGAUGGUGAUCUGACUGACGCAGCUGUAGAAGGUUCCUGAAGAAACAUUGUAGAUGCCACUGCUGGGCUCACGGUCUAUGACAGAGGCAGACAUCAGUAUCAUACACUGCAGAAUGCCUUUACCUGCGGAUCUGGAGGAGAGACGCGUCACGAUAGCGUGGCGAGGACUGUGCGUACUUCCUGGAC